GNANGNNNCUGCGGUCGACGAUUCCUACGGGAGGCAGCAGGAGGGAAUAUUGCGCAAUGGGCGAAAGCCUGACGCAGCAACGCCGCGUGAGGGAUGACGGCCUUCGGGUUGUAAACCUCUUUCAGUGGGGACGAAAUUGACGGUACCCACAGAAGAAGCACCGGCCAACUACGUGCCAGCAGCCGCGGUAAUACGUAGGGUGCAAGCAUUGUCCGGAUUUAUUGGGCGUAAAGAGCUCGUAGGCGGCUUAACAAGUCGGUCGUGAAAUACCGAGGCUCAACCUCGGGGAGUCGGUCGAAACUGUUAUGGCUAGAGUACGGUAGAGGAGAGUGGAAUUCCCGGUGUAGCGGUGGAAUGCGCAGAUAUCGGGAGGAACACCAGUAGCGAAGGCGGCUCUCUGGGCCGUUACUGACGCUGAGGAGCGAAAGCGUGGGGAGCAAACAGGAUUAGAUACCCUGGUAGUCCACGCUGUAAACGUUGGGAACUAGGUGUUGCGGUCUGAUCAAUGACUGCGGUGCCGAAGCUAACGCAUUAAGUUCCCCGCCUGGGGAGUACGGCCGCAAGGCUAAAACUCAAAGGAAUUGACGG
This 588-nucleotide ribosomal RNA is filed under the name uncultured Actinomycetes bacterium. RNAcentral's name for it is "bacterial SSU rRNA". It matches the Rfam family "Bacterial small subunit ribosomal RNA", at positions 316 to 916 of the family's 1533-position model. The record is from RNAcentral. Lineage: Bacteria; Bacillati; Actinomycetota; Actinomycetes.